CACGAAUUAUAGGCAAAAUUUGUAAUGAAGAGUGGUGUCUGAAUUUGUUGUGCAACGUUUUGAAGGAAAAAAACACUAAAAAUUAUAGUGAUAUAAUUAGGAGACAAAUUUACAUCAAAGUACGAAUCCAUUCAAUAUAGUCAAGAAACUUCGUAUUACAAAUACAGGUUUCCUGUUUGACGUGCACGAUGAUGACAAAGUCUUUGCCACUCCCUACUUCCAAUAUAAUGACGAAAAUGUCAUUACAAGAUUAUCAAACUACUUUUUAAUAAGCAUACAAAUGAUUAUAUAUAUAAGAAAAUUCACAUAUGUAUCAUGACAACAUCAUUAUAGUAAUCCUCGAUAUAAGAUGCUCCAAAAAUAUCUUUCCUAUAGAGAUGAAAGAUGUUAGCUUUUAUUUAAAAUAGGUGGACGUAAUUCUUAUGAACAUCAAUCUUGACUAGAUACAAGGUCUUGUAUGAAAGCUUACACGUUUAUGAAAUAACCGACAUCUGAAUUGCACUUUACUUUAGCACCCUUAGGAACAAGAGAUCUAAAAUUAUCUAAAUGCAAAAUUGAUGUCAACCUACCAGCUGAAUAUUUAAAACUUGAAGUAUUUAUAACUUGUAGUAUUCAUACGCAGAUUUUUCUGUCUAGAUGUUCGGCUCGUGGGUUGACAUCAAUUUUGCAUUGCGAUAACUUUAGAUCUCUUGUUCCUAAGGGCGUUAAAGUAAAGUGCAUUUCAAAUGCCGGUUAUUUCAUAAAUGUGUAAAUUUUCAUACAUGGUCUUGUAUCUAGAAAAAAAUUGAUGUCCUUAAGAAUUACAUCUAUCUAUUUUAAAUAAAGCUAACAUCUUUUAUCCUCUUCUAUAGGAAAAAUAUUAUUGGAGCAUCUUAUAUCGAUGAUUACUACAACGAUGUGGUCAUGACAAAUGUAUUAAUUUUCUUAUAUAUAUAUAUAUAAUUGUUUGUAUGCUUAUUAAUUAGUAGUUUUGAUAAUCUUAUAAUAUUAUUUUCGUCAUUAAAUUGGAUACAGAGAGCGAAAAAAAAUUGCCAUCAUCGUGUACAUAAAAAGAAAACCUGGAUUGGUAAUACGAAUUUCUUUGAUUAGAUUGAAUGGAUUCGCACUUUGACACAAACUUGUCUCCUAAUUAUAUUACUGUAAUAUUUAGUGUCUUUUUCCUCAAAACAUUGCACAACAAAUUCAGACAUCGCUCUUCAUUACAAAUUCUGCCUAUGAUUCAUUGUAGGUUAGUAUGUAUCGAAUCUCAAUAACAUAAGCACUUUUAUUGUUAUAUCUUGUCUUUUUCAAUCAACUGAUUUUAUUGUCUUAAUUCUUUUCAUAGAGUAAAUUUUUCCAUAUAAGUAACAUUUUGGCUCCUUAUGUUUCGGAUCCAAAUCGCACUUGGCUCAAUUGCAAGAAAAAUAUUAGCAAUUGUUCCUCAAGUACGUUCCAAACCAUUCAAAAUAUGAUAAAUUGUUUAUCUAAAUGUUUCAACCUGUGUUUUACUUGCAAACAAUAUGAUGUUUCUAUUCAAUAUGGUUUUUAGAUUUCAAAUUGGAAUCCAUAAAUGCAUUGAAGGGAAUUGGUGUCUCUAUAUCAAGAGGAUACUACAUGAAUUCCUACUAUAUACACUGCCAAACUGAAGGUUCUUUCAUAUUGGCCCCUUUGAGCAAAAACGAAUUAACAAAAUAAUAUUUUUUAUGCAGACAAUUGCAAACUAGUUGGAGACUGGUUUUACAAUCAAUGUCAAUUUCAAGAGACUGUUCGUCCUUAUCCUUGUAACAAAAGUUGUCCAACUCAAUUGUUUAAUUGAGAUAAUUUAAUAAGUACCAUGUUAUAAAAGAAAAAAAUUGAAAAUUAUUGUGUUGUUAAAUUGAAGGAGUGAUUCAUUUGUAGCUUUAUUGGUGUACGUGAAAUCUUAUUCAUUACACUAUUAGUUUCUACUUUGUCCAUUCUCAUUCCAAGUUGUGUGUUGAUUGAUAAUUAGCUAUGAGCUUAAAUAUGUUGUCCUUGAUAUGUUUGGUAAAUUGUAGUACAAAAUAAUUGAUAUUAUUAGAGUUGGUAUUAAAUAAACAGUGAAAUUAAAAUAAAUUUUAAUACGCAAAAGACGAGAUUCCUUUUGUAACGUCGCACUCUUCUUUUCUUGAAUUUACAUAUAUGUAUGAUGUGAAAUGUUAAUUUAUUGUCUUUGUGAAUAACCAUGUUUUGUAAUGGAGUGUACCUUGGAUGCCUUAUGAUCGACGUGCCAAUUAAAGUUAAUUAUAAUGCAAUUCAAUUGAACAUAUAACACAUAAUAUGAUAUUUUAUAAUAAGCUUGUGAUGUUAUAAUUUGUUAUUAAAUAAAUUAAACAUAGGCUUGAUCUUAACAUUUAUAUAUUUUUCGUUUGAUUGAUUUUGUAUUUGGACAGUAAAAAAGAAUGGAAUCAGCCCAAUAUUCAAUGUAAUGAAUUUGGUAAUUAGGUAAUUAGCACAAUUUUGACUCCGAUAAUUAAUUAAUUAGUGCAAUCUUAUCAUUAAAUAAAGGACCUAAAAUUUGAAAGAAACCUUACGCAUUCCUUUACUAAAAUUGAUUUCCCUGUUUCUUGUAAUUGCAAGGAUAUUUCAACACACGAAGAAAAUAUAUAACAAAUUUCUUUCCACCCACUUCUGAUUUACGUUCUUGGAAUUCUUGGAUGUCAUUUCAAGCCUCUUCUUAAGGUACUAAAUUUAUUUUGAAAUGAUUUUGGUGAUUCAUGUUUAGGGAUGGUAGUGGGGUGGGUUCCCCGCCCCGCGACGCCCCACCCACGCCCUGCGACACACGACCCGCCCCGCCUCAAACAGGGUAGGGCGAGGCCACGCCCCAUUUGUCUCCCCGUUUAAUUUUUUUUUAACAUUUUAAAAUUUCAAAUUAUGUUAUUAUUAGAGAAUAAAAUAUAAAUUCAAAAUUUUAAAAUUCAAAGUAAACACUUGAAAUAAACAAUGUUAAAAAUUAAACAAUUUCAAAUAAAAUUACAUUUUGACUAAAUUUUAU
RNAcentral lists this long non-coding RNA (2992 nucleotides) under Olea europaea subsp. europaea. The record is from RNAcentral. Lineage: Eukaryota; Viridiplantae; Streptophyta; Magnoliopsida; Lamiales; Oleaceae.